CAAUAGCGUAUAUUUAAGUUGUUGCAGUUAAAAAGCUCGUAGUUGGAUUUCGGGCGUGGCAGGCCGGUCCGCCUUUGAGGUGAGCACUGGCAGGCGGCGUCUUUCUGUCGAGGACGCGCUCCUGCUGUUUAUUCAGCGGGACGCGGAGUCGGCGACGUUACUUUGAAAAAUUAGAGUGUUCAAAGCGGGCCUACGCUUGAAUAUAUUAGCAUGGAAUAAUAAGAUAUGACUUUGGUCUAUUUGUUGGUUUGCUUUCCAAGUAAUGAUUAAUAGGGAUAGUUGGGGGUAUUCGUAUUCAAUUGUCAGAGGUGAAAUUCUUGGAUUUAUGGAAGACGAACUACUGCGAAAGCAUUUACCAAGGAUGUUUUUCAUUAAUCAAGAACGAAAGUUAGGGGAUCGAAGAUGAUCAGAU
RNAcentral lists this ribosomal RNA (412 nucleotides) under uncultured eukaryote. Its description in RNAcentral is "bacterial SSU rRNA". It matches the Rfam family "Eukaryotic small subunit ribosomal RNA", at positions 592 to 1013 of the family's 1831-position model. The record is from RNAcentral.